GGACAAAGGCAAAGGGUGCAAUGACAAUGGUGGCGACAACAUGACGGUAGGUAGCGAGGAUGAAAUUACUCAUGCCAUGCUUCAUGCAAAUGGUGGAGAGGAUGUACAUCCCGGCAUAUCCAAACUGCAGAGAUAUGAUAGCCAAGUAUGGCUUCGCUUUGUUCAACACAUCAGACAAAGCUGAAGCACUUGAUGUUUGGUCUCCCAUUUUUCUGUCUCUUUUACCUCUCCACUACUUGCUCUGAAGCUUACAACUUCUGAAUCAGGAUUCGCCUUCUUAUAUAGGCAGGAAAAUGCUAACACAAAAUAACAACAACAAUAAUAAAUAAAUAAAUAAAUAAAUAAAUAAGCAAGUGGUUUUGUUGUCCAUAUUCAGUAUUUGCAACCUCUUUCUCUAUCUAGUACUGCAAUUGCGAAUUGGUACGUAGUACGAAUUCGGGUAUUGAUUGAUACCCCGUUUACUUUUUAUCAAUUUUAAUUAUUACGAAAAUAAAAUCACACAUAUAUCCUUCUAUAAAUCUGACUUAUCCAUUAAUAUAAUUUAAAGCAGUUCCUGUUAUUACAAAUCAAUUCCAAUAUACUUUCACUGUUGAUGAAAACCAAAAGACUGAAAGAAAUAAAAGGGGAGGGGUGUAUGUGACUAAGAUGCUUUUUGCCUUUUUGUUUUUUCUUGUAUUUCCCAUUUGUUUGAUUUGUUUAUUAUGUGAAGUGGAGAUUCGGUUCAAUGAACAGCCAAACAGUGUUGAGAUUAAGUGGUGAUGAUGGUGAUGAUGCAUGCAGGAAUUAUGUGCCUUUUUACGUGGCCACCAUUCUAAAAACAACUGCUGCCUUGUUCACUUUCUCUCUUUUAUUCACUCAUUUCACCGUCCUUUAUUCUCUGCAUUUUCACUUUCACUUUUUCAUUUUUUCUAAAUCAUGGAUUAAAAAUUCGGAUUUAUUUCCAUCAGUUCGAAUCAACUAAAAUUUUGAGAAUUGGUGGCAUGUCUUGUCUGAUAGUCAGUAUGCUAUAACUUGUCAUAAGUCAAAUGCAUAUUGGUAAAAGAAAUAUCAAAUUAAAUGGAUAAAAAAAUUUAUUUGUAAUGUCUAAUUACUUAUUUUUAAAUAAAAUUUAGAACAUUAAACCACAUUCAUAUUUUUAUUAUUUAUUAUUUAUAUUUAAUAUUAAAUGUAGUACUUAAAAAUAAAAAGUUAUAAUUUCUAUCCAACUAAAAAUCAGAAAUCUAAAUUGUUCCACCUCCAUUCCUAUGUACUUUUACACUUGCCAUCAUAGUAAAUUGACAAAAAUCAACUAAACAAGGAGUUGAAUUCUACUUUGGUUAAAAUUGUCAAAAACCCAAAGUAAAGUCUAAUCUAAUCUAAUUAAUAUUUAUGAUUAGAUAUUGAUCUCAAAUGGGAUUCUUGGUAAUAUUAGAAUAAUAAGAGUUUGAGAUGAUAAUUGGAUUAAGUGGCUGCUGAUUAAUAAUCGAUUAGGCAUCUCUCACUUCAUUUCAAAAUUGUCAAAAAAUUCACAUUUAAUUAUUCUUAUUCCCACCACCACCUGCUUCUUGUCUUUUCACUUCACUCUUAAUGACUUUUGCUUCCUUUGGUUUUGCAUCUUUCAAGAAAAAUGUUCAUCAUUUCAUUAUGCCUUUAUCUAAGAGAUUUCUCAUUUAAAAAAAAAUAAAAAUUUAAGAUGGUAAUAAAACUCAAAGGAUCUUCUGGUGUUUUCAGUGAAAUGGAGAAGCAAAUGAAUUGGAUAUCAACUAAAUGGUUCAAUGAUUAUUGAUAUACAAGUGAAGGUACAUAGAUAUUUUGUAUCCAUGGGAAAUCGAAUCCUCAUAUCACUAACUAUAUAUUGGACCAAAAACAUUGUUAAAAUAUGAGUGGGAGCAGUGAAUUAGACAUAUCAACUGUUAUCAAAAUAAACAAGUCGAUGCAAUGUUGUUGGAUUGAUUAUAUGUGUAAGUUUCCCAAGGAAAGAGAGAUCAUUUAUAAUCAUAAGUAGUAAAAUGUAGGGACAAAACAAAGUUGGUGCUUUUCGUGUUUGGAUCCCAACAUGAAAAUAUCAGGUUGGUUUGGUGGAAUUCCACAUGACAAAUGGAAAAACAAACACAUUGAUUUCUACAUGUUUUCUUUGUAACUAUUAAAACAGAGAAGUAAAUUGUUUAAUUGGUGAUUUAAAGUUAUAUGUUGUAACUAAACUUCUAGUUUUAGACAAAUCCAAGGCCACUUUUGCCUUGUCAUCUCUGCACUUAAAAUCAAACCCAAAGUCACCAUUAUCCCAACUCUUUCGUUUUGGGUAAAAAAAUCAGUUAAAUACGUAUACCCAACACGUAUUCAGACAUUUAUUUUUUUUUCUGGCAAAACCUGAUUUUCGUCUCAUCCAAUACGUACAGUACUUGAAACAGAAGUGUAAUUAUAUGCCACUCAAUCCGAUACGAUUAAUUGAAAAGAUUGAAACUUUAAAGGUGUGGAAUAAUUCGAGCAUUCAACGCCAUAAGAUAUGAAAUUAGACAGAUGCUGAGUUACAUAUAUGGUGUGGAGCUAAAACCUUGUCUGUUGAGUGCCCAUCCAUAAUGAGAGAAAAAAGAAAAGAAAAGAGAAAGAGGGGUGGCCCGGGUGACGAAGAAAGCAUGUUUCUUUUUUGUCCCUAUCAUGAGAGAUUCAAAUCGAAUACAAAUUUAUAUUCAUAUGGUUGGUAGGUAAGCAGAUAUAGGAUAAUAUUGGUAAAAUCAAUUUAAAUGGAUGUCCGGCUCAUCAAUUAAAAAUUUUGAUGAUUGUAGAUGCUGGAAUAGGGUUCAUAAGAUUAUAAAGUAAAAGGAUAAUACAGAAUGGAACUUAUUGUACAAAAGUUUUGAUUGAUGCCUAGAAUUGGUGAAUUAUUGGUUGAGCCGAGUUAAAAAAAUCGAGAAAAAUUGAGUUCUGUUUUUAGUAAUAGGCUAAUUGAAUCAAUUGUCAUAUUUUUUAAAUAAAAUAGGGUAAACUAUUAAAAUAGUAACUUUUGUUUACUUUAGAUUACAUUUUUGUCACUUCUGUUUGAAAUGUUACAUUUUAGUCAUUUACAUUAUCGUGUUGUAAACUGAGCCGUUAAUUGCCGUCAAUGGUGUAACGGUAAGCUGAUGUGGCACGUUAAAUUAUUAUUUCAAAUGAAAAUUUUAGAUUAAAUUCUACAAUUGGUCCUUAUAUUUUUUUAUUUUGAGCAAUUUUAUUUUUUUUCUUUUAUAUUCUUUGAACUUUUCUUUUUUUUUCCAUUUGCUUCUACUUCUCCCUCUAUUUUCCUCCCUUCUCCAUUUAUUUUAACAUAUUUUUUCUAUGUUUUUCAUUUGUUAAAACUAGUCAACAAGCUCACCUCACUCGAAAAAAUUAAAUUGUUCAAAAAAAUAAAAGUAUAGGGACUAGUUUUAACAAAUGAAAAGCGUAGAAAAACUACGUUAAAAGAAAUGAAGAAUGAAGGAAAACAAAGGGAGAAGCAAAAGAAAAUGGAAAAUAAAGAAAAAAAGAAAGUUAAAAAAAUAUAAAAGAAAAAAAUUAAUUUGCUCAAAACAAAAAAAUAUGGGGACCAUUAUAUAAAUUAACCUAAAAUUUUUGUUUGAAAUGAUGAUUUAACGUGUCACAUCAACUUACUGUUACACGUUAAUUGCAAUUAACGGCUCAGUGACUAAAAUGUUACAACACGAUAACAUAAGUGACUAAAAUGUAAUCUGAGAUAAACAAAAGUGAUUAUUUUAGUAAUUUAUCCAAAAAAUACUUAAAGUUUAAUUUAAUGUGUUUUUAUAUAUACUUUAUAUUUUUUAUUUUUAAAUUAAAUCACUAUUAAGAAGCCUCACGAAUUUGACUUAAGAUUCAGUGAUCAUUGAUUUUCUCAUAAAAUGUGAAGAUGAUAAUGACAAAAGGUGUUGACAAUUUGGGAGGCUAAUCCUAUUUUAUUAUAAAUCAUGUGAAAUUAACAUUUCUCAUGAAAUGCCUGAAAAGAGAUGCAAUCCACCGUAAAAAUACUUCUUCACUAAAUAUAAAUAUUAAUAUAUUAUAAACCAGAAAGCACCUUCAUCUUCAAUUAUUUAUGGUGGUAAUUCCCCACUUUGAUAUGGCAAUGGUGUGAUAGUGGUUAACAAUUAUGUCAUCUAGAAUAUAUUUAAAAUGCUCAUUUAACUUAUACUCAAUCAUUGCUAUGAAUUUGAUCCUCGAGAUUUCACUUUUGACCCUCUCAAAAAAUAAAAAUUCAAUUGAAACUAUUUUAAAAUAAAAUUAUUAAUUUUGACCCUAAUUUUUUGUAAAUUUAUCUCAAUCACCCACCAUAAUUUUUGGCUAGGCCAUUAUAUUGGAAAAAUAUGAGAUACAUGCCUAUAAUCAACCCUUUCCAAAUUCAAAUAACAUACCAAGUUAAUUUCAGUGACAAGUUGCAGAGAGGAGUGUAAUAAUGGAAAGGCUUUUAUAUGCACGUAGAUUAAGAAAUAAGUACACUUCGAAAAUGCAGGAAAGGCAAGUAUUCAUGCUACUUUUCUUAAGAUCAUGGUGUCUUUUACUUUCCACCCUGCUGAGCACUGUGAAUUGUGGCAAUGUCAAGCUUAGUGGCAUUAGCACCAUAUUUUUCAGAAAUUGGUAGCUCUGGCUGGUUACAAUCAACGUUUGCAGGUGCAGAUGGUGACCGAGAAUCCUUGCUUUUACCCCACACCACGCAAUAAAGGCCGAUCGCGAUAACGAUUCCCCCUAUGAUACUACAUGUUAUAGUGAAAUGAAAGAAGAAAAUUUUUAGUUAAUGAAGGAAUAGGCAUCGAAAAGGAUAAAAAUACUUUAAAUGUUAUACCUUCAGUGUUUUAAAUUCAUGGCUUUUAUAUGUUCAUAUAAAAAUGAGAUUCCUAGAACGUGUUGUUUUUCUUAUGCUUUCACUCUUUCCUCUAUAGGAUAAGAAGAAAGAAGCUCAUGGUUAAUUGCUGUCAAACACCAAAAUUCUUUAAUGUAUGAUUAUUGAAGGUGGGUUUAGUAAAUUGAGGAUUAGGUAUGCUAAUGGUCCAUCAUUCCAUUUUUUCUUAAUAAUUAAAAACUUAGAUAUCUUGUUUGGGGUUGUACAUAAAAAUGAAGUGAGUUCAAUUAUGGUGCUGGGAAAUGGAUUCAAAUACCUUCCGAGAUGAAGUUGCUCGCCGAGGAUGGCGGAACCGAGAGCAGCAACAAUGAUCAUGCAGAGAGGGUUGAAGGCAGUGACAAAUACAGGGCCUCUUGUUUUCAUGACCAUACCUUGUACGUAAUAUGUAAUUCCAGAGCUAACUAUACCCUUCAUAAAAACCAAUAAUUGGUAGUAAUUAGCAUGUAUUUAUAAUUUGAUUAACCAUAAUGAUAUACUUGAUGCUAAAGGUACUUAGAUAGUUUAGGAACAAUAUGUUCAAUACGGAUAUGCUUAAUUUAUUUCGUAGUUUUCGUACUUACUGAGUACAAUGGAGCAAAAAGCCUAGAGUUCCAUCCCACUGCCCAUCCACUAGGGCGAUGUUCUACAACCAGGGCAAUAGCCAAACUCUGGAUAGUACCCGCCAAGCAUAUCAAGGAGGAAAGAGAGAUCUCCGCCGUGUAUUUCUUUAUGGUGAUUGACUGAACCAUUUGAAGAACAAAAAUUUCAUUAAUUACCUCAAAGUUAAAAGUUUUGCAGUAUUUUUUAUUGUAUUAGACAUGGGAUUUCCCAGGAAUCUCCGUUAUUUGUCUUAAAAAGCCUACAGUUCCACUCAUUAGUGGAUGACAUGUAAGAACUUACUUGCAGAACAUAGAAACAGGACCAGGCAACACAACCGACAAGGAUCAAUAGUGUCCCAGAUAUCCAAUGUUUAUCAGAUGAGUCACCGCUGCUUCCAUUGUGGCUUGUGUGCCUUGACCAUAUUAAAUCAAUUACAGGGCCUUUGUAAAGUGUCAUAAGUAAAGCUCCUGAAAGAGAUACCAGGGUCCCAACGACCUUGGCUAUACUGCGUACUUCCUUCAUCUCUAUAUGCUCUAAUCUGAUCAAACAAUAGGAGCUUCUGUUAUAAACUAGACCUUAGAGUCAAAGAUCAGUCGCAGUUUAUGAAUCCAUUUCAGUGGUUGGAAACUAGAAAAUAUUGAGCAGACAAUUUUUGGAGUCUCCCAUUUGUGAAUAAUAUAAAUGCUAUUAAGGUGGUUUUUUGUGUUGGCUUAAAGUCUUGUUCUGAUAUAGAUUGAUAGGAACUUCAGAAUUUACCGAAAAAUGACUGCAAUCACAAAGGUGACUGAAGGGACAGCAUUCAUAAUAGCAGAUGUAAAUGAUGCUGAUGUAUAUUUCAUUCCCAGGUAAGUGAAGCCUUGAUCAAGAAUUGGCCUGUCAACACAAAUUUUCAGACAUCAAACACAGAAUCCUGUCAUGGAUGACAUGCCACAAUAUAUUGUCAUAAUAGAUUAUGUUGAACAAUUUUAUUUGGUUUGAACCAAACAGGGAAGUUGUUUAUGAUUGGAGUUUCCAUGAAGUUAAAUGGUGUUUACUGUUAAUUAAAAGGUGUAAUUUCUAUCUCUACUUUUAAGACAAACAUAUAUAUAUGUUUUAAGUUAAAGAAGUAUGAAGAGGGAAAAGAUUACUCUAGAAAUCCCAAGGCCAUUAUUUGUAGGAAGAUUGGGAAUGUCAUCUUUGGCCUUGUUUUCCUGUAAGAAAGAGGAGAAAAUGCAUAUUGAGAUUAGUCCUGUUUUAUUUCCACAUGUAAUUAUAACUUCUAUCUUAUGGUGCAUGAACAAAAUCUAUGUUGCUCCGGUUUUUCAUUUUGUUUUAGAGCAAUUGUGCCAUACACAUAUUCACAUUCAAGACAUUGGAGUCCGUGUAACAUAGAUCACAAGUAAUUUAUGCAUGGAUGUGCGUAACAUGCCAAACAUUAUGAUCACCUCUCAAGCACCAGUGCAAAAGGUGCAAGUACGAGUGCAGCAAUGGCAUUACGAUACACGACGAGCACGUAACGGUUCAUGCCUUGGUUGAGAGUCACCAUGCUGAUUAUGUACAUCCCAGCUGAACCAAAUUGCAAGAAUAUCAUGAGGAAAUAAGGUUUUGCCUUGCUGAAAUUUGCACUCAAAGGUCCAUUUGAACUUUGGUCACUCAUCUUUGCUCUAGCUCACUAGAUAAGGAAAGAUUUAUCUGAAUUCUUGACUAGGAAGUGAUAAAAAUUGUUCUUAUAUAUAUGCAAUAAGCCAUGUAAAGGACUUAAAUCAAACCCGAAAUCUGCAGGGUCCAUUUUCCACGAAACUUUAGACAGCAGCGCUUUUUGCCUUUAAUUUCCAUUUCGUUCAAAGUUUUGAAAAAGAAAAAGGACAAUUAAUUAUGUUAUCUUCCAAGCAAAUAGUGCAAUCCUUCAUUUUGGCAGAUGGAGUAGAAGACACAAAAUGCAUAUACACUUAUGCCUAGUGUCCUUUGAUGAUGGCAUGAAUAUCAAUAGUAUUGCAUGUGUCCAGUGGUGGAGUCAGAAAAAAAAUUUGGGAGGCGGGCGGAAUUAAAUUGUAUAUUGUAAAAAUACAAUUUCAUCAUUUUAAUAGAUUAUAUCUUUAUAAUUUUUAAAGGGCCAAAGUGUCAUUUUACUAUUACUAAUUUAAAACUUUAUAAAUUAUAAAAGACUUAAAUAGAAAAUUUUUCAUUUUAGAGGGGGUCAGGGCCAAUGCCUAUCCCUUGGCUCUACCACUGCAUGUGGUUACGCUGAGAUAUGAGCUUUGUAAAAGAAACUACCAACUCAAGAGUGCCAUUAACAUAUACUUAUCCAAGCUUAGAGUGCUAAACUAAAUAAUUAACUAACCAAUCAAUUAACACAUUUAAAAGACUCAAAUAUGAGAUAUGAAAGUUCUCAGACCUCAACUUUAUCCUUGAACCAAAGCCUUCUUGGGCACUUAUCUGUUACUGUUGAAAGCUGGACUGCAAUGCAACAUGGAGCCAGAAGCAUGCUACUGUCGAGACCAGCAGCUAUCGAGCUCAGCUCGUCUUGCUUGGCUCGCACGAAUGGUUUUUGGACCAAAUGAAGCAACUGACAUUGCUGUUUUGUUUUGAUGUAAUUUAGUUCAGUUCAAUUGUAACUAGCUUUAAUAGUUAGCAAGAUUAAGUUAGUGAUUAGAUAGUUGAUGUAAAAGCUGAUAUGGCAGCUCAUUUUGUAUUUGACUUAAACUUACAUUGGUUGUAAAUUAGUGGAGGCAGUUAGAUUAGUAGGUAACUGUCAAAUGAACAAAUUGUAACUCCUUUUAUUUCAAAUUUUGAAUGAAAAAAUGUAAUGUUCAGUUACAAUUCUUGCUGUACAUUCAAGUUUCUUUCUUGCUGCUCUGCUUGUUUUUCUUUUCUGCUUCGAUUACUUUUGCUUCUGCUUGCAAAUCUCUUUGUUGCAUACUGCCAUUGUUCCAACAAAUGGUAUCAUGAGCCCGAGUCUUUGAAGGGCCUUUGCUUGUAUUCUGUUGAUUUCAAUUUAAAAUCUACAGCAAAGCUUAAAACUAAAAAGGAUCGAAGCACUUAAACUCAGUCUAGCAAGAUGAGUUUCACUCCACCACCUCCACCAGUGUUCACUGGAGAAAACUAUCACAUUUGGAUAGUUAAAAUGAAGACUUAUCUUCAGGCACACGAUCUCUGGAGUGUGAUUGAGAAUGAUGCUGAACCACCUCCAUUGAAAGCCAAUCCCACCAUUGCACAGAUGAGGCAGCAUGCUAAGGAGCGAGCCAAGAAGCAUAAGGCUAUGGCCUGCUUGCAAAAUGGAGUCUCUGAUGUGAUAUUCACUCGCAUUAUGGCCUGUGACUCACCAAAACAGGUCUGGGAGAAGCUGAAGGAGGAGUUCAUGGGGACUGACAAGACAAGGCAACAGCAAGUGAUCAACCUCAGGAGAGAUUUUGAAAAUUUGAGGAUAAAGGAGUCUGAGACCAUCAAGCAGUACUCAGACAGGAUAAUGGCCAUUGUCAACAGCAUUAGGCUCCUGGGAGUGGACUUCACAGAUAGCAGAGUUGUUGAAAAGGUCAUUACAACUCUCCCUGAGAAAUUUGAGUCUAAAAUCUCUUCACUUGAGGACUCGAGGGACUUAUCAGCCAUUUCAUUGUCUGAGCUGAUAAACUCCCUGUAUGCACUUGAGCAAAGGAGGGCAAAUAGGCAGGAGGAGAAUCCUGAAGCUGCUUUCCAGGCUAAAGCCAGUGAAGGCUCAAGUAUGAGUGCAAAAGGCAAGAAGCCUUGGUACAAUAGAAAGGCCAAGUCAGGAAGAGAUGAAGCAAAAAGGGUGUUUCCACCAUGUGUUCACUGCAAGAAGACAACACAUUCAGAAAAAUAUUGCUGGUUUAGGCCAGAUAUUCAGUGCAGAAAGUGCAAGCAGUUUGGUCAUGUAGAGAAGGUGUGCAAGGGCAAACCAAGGGAGGUUGCUCUACAACAAGCUAGACCAGCCGAGGACAUGCAAGCUCAGGAGGAGCAUGUGUUUACAGCAGCCUGUUUUGUUGGCACAACAAAAACCAGCAAUGAUUGGCUACUAGACAGUGGCUGCUCACACCAUAUGGCAGCAGAUGAGAAGUUAUUCAAGGGCUUAGACAGAAGCUUCCACUCUAGGAUCCGAAUUGGAGAUGGCAAGCUGAUUGAGGCUAAGGGCAAGGGCAGUGUGCUGGUUAGCACUGGUUCAGGUAACAAGCUAAUCUCAGAUGUGCUUUUUGUACCUAACUUAGACCAGAAUUUGCUUAGUGUAGGCCAAUUAGUUGAAAAGGGCUAUACAUUGGUUUUUAAGGAUGGUUGUUGUACUGUUCAAGACAUGAAUGGUCUGGAGUUAAUCUCAGUCUCCAUGACAGAUAGAUGCUUCAUGCUGGAUGUUAGCCAAGUAGAAAGAAAGGCAUACACCAGCCUUGCUGACAGCACUGACUUGUGGCAUAGGAGACUAGGCCAUGCCAAUUUCAGAUCGCUUGAUCUGCUACAUAGGCUGAAUUUAGUUGAUUACAUUUCAAAAGUUGAGGUUAGUGGGAAUGUUUGUGAGGUUUGUCAGCUUGGUAAGCAGGCUAAACUGCCUUUUCCUGCUGACAGUGCUUGGAGAGCUCAAAACAAGCUCGAAUUGGUGCACUCUGAUGUUUGUGGUCCUAUGAGAACACCUUCAAUCAGUGAGAACAAGUACUUUGCCCUGUUUAUAGAUGAUUUAACAAGGUUAUGCUGGGUCUACUUCUUGAGGCAAAAGUCAGAAGUGUUUGAAGCCUUCUGUAAAUUCAAGGCUUAUGCUAAAAAUCAGUCAGGCUGCAAAAUUAGAGCUUUGAGGACUGAUAAUGGCUCUGAAUAUGUGUCUGAGAGAUUUCAGAAGCUUUGUGACAGUGCUGGGAUUCAUCAUCAGCUCACAACAGUCUAUACUCCUCAACAGAAUAGAGUCUGUGAGAGGAAGAAUAGGACUGUGCUGAACAUGGCCAGGUGCCUCUUGUUUCAAGGCAAGCUUCCAAGUCAGUUUUGGGCUGAGGCAGUUAACACCUCAGUGUAUCUAAGUUUCGUUAGUACAUAAAAAGAUAAAUAACAAUAAAUAACAAUAAUAAGAGCGAAAACAAUAACAAUAUGACAAGCCAAAUAAUUAAGAAAAGAAAAACAAAGAGAACAAAAAAAUUGAAUAAAUAAAUAGCUAAACUGAUUUAGGGACUUAAUCGUGAUGUAAAUUAAUCAAAGUUAAAGGACAAAUUAAAAUAAAGUAAACAAAUACAAGACCAAAAUGAAAGACGCGACAACUAACAAGGACCAAAUGGGAAUAAAACCCAAAUUCGGACACGUGUCCAUCGUUUCAGCGCAUCAGUGAGCCAGGGAUGAGAUAAAAAAAAACAAAAUUUCGGCGCUAAAUUAAAAGGAAACAGAAAUGAACAAAAAGCAGUAGAUUUAAAAUAAAAUAAACGUGGAAGGACCAGAGUCGCAAAUAGACCCUUUUACCGCAGAAACACGCGGAUCUUGAGGGUUCGGGUCGGCUGGAUCGGGCUAGGCCAAAACGGCACCGUUUUGGGACCUAUGCACACAGGCCAAAACGACGUCGUUUAACCCUGCUAUAUAAACAAAAUUUUUUUUAAAAAAACUUCAUUUUCACUUCCCUUCUUCAAAAAAAAAACAAAAAUUUCUCUCAAACCCUCUCUCCCCCUCCGGGCACCGGCCUUGCUCCGGCCAACGGCCCGAUCGUCCGCCGUCUCGCCGUGUGCGGAUUGCCGGAAAAUUCAAAACCCCCUUUUUCACUCCUUUUUUCGAGGAGAGCCUGGAUUUGGGUCAAAAACACCGAGAUUUUGACAAAAAACAGGCAAAAAACGAGAAAACCCCUUGGUUUUCUCUUCUUUUUGGCGAUUGGGGUAAGAACUCUCCUCUUUUCUUCUUUUUAUUUAAUAUAUAAUCUUAUAUAUAUAUAUGCUAAAAAAACAACAAUGAAAAAAAGGAAUAAAUAAAUCAAGAUACAAAAUGAAGAAGAAGAAAGAAAAACACCUUUUCUUCAAAUUUUCGAUUUUUUAUUGAUUCAUCAACCCCUUUUUUUUUAAAUCCGUUUCCUCCCCCUUUUACAAAUCUGUGCUUGGGUUUUAUAUAGCCGAUUUACAAUAUAUUUUUCUACUAUUUUGCACUGUUUCGGCUUCAUCUCUGUCACUGUUUUUUUGCUGCUAUUUUCACCUUUUUGCUGUUUGUUUUUGGAUCUUUUGCAGGUGUUGAGGGGUCAACGGAGCAAGGUUUUGCCGUUUUGGUGCAACCGGGGGCUACCUCGGGCCGCGUGCACGCCGACACUGCACAUGGAGGCAGCGGCGCAUCUGGAGGCUAGGGUUUAGGUUUUCUUUUCUGAAAACUUUAGGUUGUGGGCUUAGGGUUUUCAUGUGGGCCUUUUGGGUAGAUUUAGGUGGGUUUUUGGGCCCGGGCAAAAUGGGCUUGUACAGUACUUUUUCAAAUUCUAAAAUUUCAGCCCUCACCUACAAUAACUUUUAAAUUCAUUUAAGUUUUCUAUUCUAAAUUUUUAUGUAGCAAACAUAUUAUCAUAUGUGUAAUUAUGACGCCCCAAACCCGGCCGAGACAAUUCGACUUGAAUUUCGAAUGUCAUAUUAGUCACCAAAGCGACUCUCUGUUAAAAACAACACGAAGCACACCAACCAACCAUGCACACCACACAUUUGCAACAUAAAUCAUAUUAAAACUAAUCCUAAUUACAUGCCUUUCUAAAAAUACCAUAAGAACAAAGUACAAAAAUUUCAGGUUUUAAACCCCUACGAACCCACCUUGUGACGAACCCCCAUCUAGAACCCCAAGCAGCUUGCAGACAUCUGGCGAGCUCUAGCUCGCGACCUUACCACGAGCACAGGUUGUAACUUGCCCCGCAAACCCCCUGGUUCACAUCCUAACUGGCGAUCUAGCUCACAUCUUACCCUGCAACCACUCUCCUCCUAGCGAACUUAGACCCCAGUUUUCCCCUCAACUGAACAGACUGCUCUAGGAAAUGCUAUACUCGUGAACCUUUUUUUUCCUUGGCGCACCAAAUACCCAUGGCGAAUCUACUGACUUGGCGAGCCCUCCCCAUUUCGGCAAAACUCCCCAUUUCGGCAAACCUAUGUACUUUAGUGUACUAACCUACCCUGGCGAACUCAUCCUGGUGGCGAAUUAUGCACUAUGGCGAAGACUAUGUUUUGGCUAACACUAGCUUUGGUGAAUCCCUUAACACUGGCAAGACCCUGUACUUGCAACCCCCAAGCUCGCACUAUGCUUAGUUGUUUCAUGCAUACUAAGCCAUUAAUUUGCUUUAUCAUACAUAAAAAGGUAAGGGCGUACCUUAGAACCUGACAAGCUCCUUAACCUACAUAAGCUUAUUAGCUCUUCAAUUUAAUAACAAUCAACAUGUAUAAAAUCCAAUCAAUCAUGCAUUCAACCAAGCAAUUAUAAAGUCCAAAAUCCAAAAUUAAAUAGAACCGCCAAAAUUUAUUUUAAAAUUCUAAGUCUAAUUCUAAUCGCUUAGGACAGUCUCACAUUACCUUCCACUUUACGGUUUGAAACUGUUGGAACAUUUUCAAAUAUUUACAGUGUUUUAAUAACUAUAAAUGAAUGGGUGUAAUUAAUCAACAAUUAUAUUAUUUGAUUUUUUGAAAAAGAAUUAUAACUAUUUAAAUAAUACUAUUUGAAUAGUUAUAAUAUUAAAUGAAUAAUUAUGUGUUUAUUUUAAAGACAUUAUUAUUCAGAAAGACACAUAUUGAAAGAUGUCUCUAUGAAGAGACAUGAAAAUUCCUAUAAAUAGGAAUGCAAUUUCAUUUGGAAAUCACACCAACAAAUUCUAAUAUUAUUUCUUUCCUUCCUUUAUUUUCUAAUAUUAUUAGAUUAUUUUAUAAAGUAUUACUACAAAAAUCCUUUAUAGAAAUUGAUAACACUCUAGAAUAACGUAUCUUUAUGUAUUAAUUAUAUAUUUAUUCUGAGUAUGAUCCUUCUAAUUUGAGCUAUUUAUGAUCUUUUAUCUCAUAGGGACUAAAUUUGAGGCAAAAGCAAAAUUAAGGGCCAAAAGCGUGAAUUUAGAGAUAAAAUGGGCCAAUGUGCAACACAAGGAAAAGUUGAUGCCAAAAGUGCAAGCAUGGAGGAAACAAGGGUUGAAAUGCAAAAAGAAGAGAUUUUAUUCUAUCAGACUCUAUUUUAAUUAUAUUAGGAUAAUUAAUAUUAAGAUAAUUAUUAAGGAUCAUUUAAUUUUAGGAUUUAAUUUUAUUUAUCUUUAUUUAUCUUCAGUUAAAUGUAUUUAUCUUUUGGAAGUUUAAGUAGUAUUAGACUAUCUCCCCUAGCACUAUAAAUAGGGGGUGAAAUGACUCAAAAGGCAUCCAUCUUUUUUUGUAAACACUCUCUCCCCAAAAGUCUAGGCUUUUGUUCUUCUCAUAUUUCCUUUCAAUAAAAUCUCCAUUUUUAUUUUAUUUAUUUUCUUUUCCAGCACAACCAUGAGUCACUAAAUCCAUCUAACCAAAGGUUGUCGAUUUUCCCCAAAAAGGGUUCUUGAGGCUUAGAGUCCAUACUUAGCUUCCUCGUCGAGUAUUCAUCAUUUCUCUGCACUACUGGGCUGACGCUUCCAUCUAUGUCCCUUAAGAAGUAAGCUUUUCAACGUAUGCAAAGGCAGCAGCUUUAUAUGUUUUGGGAAGGUUGCACAAUCGGUUCGUUAGCUUACUGCGUCAGAGGUUGGCGAGCCCAAGAGAUAAAAUGGCGCGUGAUUUGACAUUGAGAAGCGAUUGUUGGCUAGAGUCAGGCUCCAUUAAAUUGUAAGUCUAAAUCCUUGAAGCUGGUGGUCGUAGGCGUCCUCUUCCACUAUAACUAGCUUAUUCGGUUUGGGAAGGAUCAUCUAAAGCCGAGGAUUGAACCCAAGGCGAAACGAGACAACUAGAGGCUGGAACCUCCCAUAAGAAUUCCUUUAUCUCAACUCUAUUUUUAAUUUCUCGAAUUUUCGAUUCAAUAUUCUUAAUUUUGUUUUUAUUUUAUUUUUCGUUUCCAGAUCCAAACCUUUAAUUCUGUUAUUUUCUUAUUUUUUUCUAGGAACGCAAGUUUUCUUGGGUAAGAUUCUGCCUAGGAUUUCACGGAAUAAGAUAUUCUGCAAAUUUAGUCCUUGAAGAUUUGACCUUACUUCCCCUUUACUUUUCUUUUUCAUUAUUUAUUAGGGAUAGGAUAUUUUUGGUGUUUUCAAUGACCGCAUUAUUGAGUUUCUUGUCAUGCAUUGCUCAGUGUGUAGUGGGCUAUCCUCGUCAGUGCAAAACGCAAAUAGUCAUUGGCUUUAUUAUAUCCUUAAGGUUAAUUUGCUUGGAACUCAUUUGCACACCAAAAAUAGGUAGGGGCGAAUAUAACUUUAAAUAUAGUGACUUGAUACAUGCCUUGGAGCCUUGUCCUAUUUCUUCUUUUCCUGUUCGAGUUUCGUUCAUGUGUUCGAGAUUUUCUUCACAGGAGAUUUGUACUAAUAGAAACACAAGUCACAUACUCAAAGGGAUUUGCCUUGGGAUGGAUCACCGGAUUGCCACAGUUCACCACUAGUCCCACGAGCUAUUUAUCUGCAAGGUAUAUGAAAUGAGUAUGAGCUUAUGAAACUUAGUGAAUGCUCAAGCAUACAACACAUAAAACGCAUCAAUCAUGCUAAGAUUUAAACAUACUAUAACAUUUCACAUACAAUACAAUAUUCAUAGUCAACAUGGUGAUAUAUUGGCAAUUUGUGAAUGUGAAACAUAAUCAUAAUUUGUUUGCAUUGGAUAAACGGAUCUCCAAAACAUACCAAAUAACUCAUAGAGUCAUAUGCUAUCUCCAUGUAAAUGUAGCACGAGUGUUCACACUCUCCAAACAUAUCACAUUGUCUACGAUGAAUGGAUCUAUGCUCGACAUUCCCUCAUCUCUCCAACGUUAUCUCUGGGCCACAAUGCCUUAACAUAUAAUAAAAUCGGUGAGUACUCACAAUCCUAUGGCAUGUCAAUGAUAUCCAAUGAUUUCAAGUGUUCAGAAUGUCAACAUAUCACUUUUAUCACAUUCAUAAUACACAAUAUUAUCGGACUCACAAUAUAGCAGAGUUCACAUUUCUGCAAGGCUCGCAAUACACAUAGGUUCACAUAACAUAGGGUUCGCAUAACACAACAUAAUGCUAAUAUACAUUUAAGGCUCGCAUACAACAUAUGAGUUCGCACAUAACAUGAAACUCACAUAAUGUAGGGGCUCGCAUGCAAUAUAGGGCUCACUCAUAUAUAUAUAAGCUUGCAUAAAUCAGGGGUUCGUACAUAUCUAGGUUCACAUAGAUAUAAGAGUUCACACAUGUAUAGCAGGGUUCGCAUAAGGUUUAUCAGGGCUUACAUGAUGUAAAUCGAGUUUGCAUGAGAUCAUAACUAGCUUUGCACAUUAAAUAGAAGGGUAUGCCUGCCUUACCUGGCUAUCCUUAGCAUGCGAACUCGUGCUUAUGAUGUAGUGUGCAAGAACACUCACCUGUUGAUUCACUGAUACUACUAAACCUACACCACUUUUUCCUUCCCCUUAUCCUUACUCGUGGACGCUCCCUCACGAAUAGAGGCUUCGCAUAUCACAUAAAAACAUACAGGUUAUUUUCAUUUUUAAACAGACUGAGCGACCACCUAGUAACAUAGUAGCUCGCCACUCUUCUAAAUCUAGAGAGCUCACCUCGCGUGACUUUAAUCUUCAAAUUACUUCAAUUUAACUUGACUAAACCCUCGAUUUUCACUUCCUAACAUCAGAUCUAAUGUUUAAUUAUAAAUUUAGAUCAUUAAUUUUAUACAAUUUCACUAAUUAACUUUUCCGGAAAAAUCAUGUUCGUUUUCAAUCUCAAGAAGAAAAAUCAUUUGAUUCAUGCAAAUUCUUUAAGGAUUUAUUAAAUCAAGUUUAUAAACCACUUCAUUAUUGUAAAAUGAGUUGAAAAUCAUUUUAAAAUCAUCACUUAGCUCUCUAUUACGAGAUUCACCAUUUUUAUGCAAAACCAAGCUUUAAAACCAUAGAUAUUAGAAUUUCUUAAUUAGAUCUAUAAAAACACAAAUUAAUCCCUAUUACGAGAUUCAUCAUUUUCUUAAAAUGGUAAUUUGCACUCUUGGCCCCUUAACUUUUCAGUGCUUAUAUUUUAUCAUUUUAAGUUUAAAUAUUUACAUUAGGCCACAAUACUUUUUAUAUUUUACGAUUUAAUCCCUGACUCAAAUUAACAUUUCACAACAUACUUCUUAUUUCAUUUUCCUCUAACAUCCUUUAUUCUUUACUUUCUUUAUAUCUUAUUUCACUAAAAAAAAAUCUAUCGUAUAUUAUUUUUGACUAAGGGGAUUUUUGGAUGUUACAAAAAGGAUGAAGGGAAAUUUGAGAGAAAACUCUUGAUUUAAGAUCUUAUAUUAUUUUUGAAAUGGUUGAAAGUGUGGAGGGAAGGGACGGUGGGUGGUCUUAUAUAGCCAACUAAAUUUUAAAAUUUGGGCUAUUUACCCCUAAGCCCCCUACUAUUACCUCCCUUGUUCUAAUAACUCCUAUUUCAAUUAAAUCUUUUAAUUUACACAUUAGACCUCUAAUUUAAAAAUUGUUCUGAUUUAAUCCUCACUAAUAUAUUUUUAUUAACCCAAUUACUAUUAUUAUUAACUAAUUAAUAUUUUAUUUUAUUUUAUUUUCUAUGUCACUAAUUUUGAUUCCUCACUUUGCUAUUUCCACGUAUUACUCACAAAAAUUUAAUUAUUAGGUUAACAAAAAUAACUUGCAUCAAGACUGAGAUUUCAAAAUUUGAACAUUAUAGAGACUUAGAAUGAUCCAGUUAGAAAAUAUAGACUAAAUAUACAAUUGCACGCAUAGUACAUGCUAGUAAUUGAAUUUAACCAAAUGAAUUAAAUACUACUAUUUGGGUCAGGACUAAAAUUUCAAAGUUUAAAAAGUACAGUUUAAAAAGUACAAGAAUGAAAUUUGACCAAUUCGAAAAGUAGUACUAAAACUGAUUAAAUUAAAGUACAAAGACUAAUAGUAGAAUUUAACCUAUUAUGUCAUAAUGAAUUGUGAGUGAAGAAUGAAGAUUUCGAAUAAUCUUAAAACAACCUAUGGAUGGCAUCAUUCAAUUUGGUCCAAAACAAUUGUUUCUUCUUUUUAACUCAUGUUUGGUUCUUUGUUUCAUAUGAUAUCAGCUAGCCUUUUCUAACCAUUUCUUCCACCAAUUAAGUGAGAGCUGACUGGGGAGUAAGAAUCCAAAUUAGAAUAGGUUAAUCUUGAAGAAAGUGGCUUUUCUUCCACAUGAUUACACAAUUAAAAAACAACAAUGGGGUUUAAGGCUUUAAGCAAGCAAUUAAGGGGAGCUAUCGGAGAAUAAGAAUCAGUUUAAUCAUAAAGAAAGUGGAAUGUUCCGUAGGAUUAAACAAUUAAAAACCAACAAUGGGGUUCAAGUAAAUUCUAUUUUAGCCUUCAUAUUCUUCACGUUGCCAAAGUUAUAAACAAGUAGAAUUAAUAUAUAGCUACGUAGCUAUUAGGAUAAACUUAAAAAAUGAUUAACCUGGAAAGUUUGAGAUACCAAUACAAUUCAUGGAACAAGUUAUUUUUAUUUUUGCAGUAGAUAGUAUCGGAUGAGUUUAAGCCACAACAGAAAAAUGUAUGGAGAAGGAAUAUUCGGACAAAGAACAUAGGCAAACCGCGAUUGAUUCAUGGUUUUUACUCACAAAAUUAAAGCCUCAAGAGUAAACUGGAUUAUUAAAGAAAAAUAAAAAGAGUACAAUCAAAAGAUGAUUAUUAAGUUACAAAAGUACUUAAAGGGAGGGGGUGGAUUACAUAUAUAGUAGUUUUUACCGCCUUGGGAAGAACUACUCUGCUCGAAACAUAUCAAUUUUAAGGGAAAUAUUGGAUAUUGUUUUAUGUUCCUCGAGUGCUGAAGGUGUUCUUUAAAUCUGGAAUGUUAACAGCAUUGGCAGCUCCAUCAACAUCAUUCAUUGAUCUACCAUUGUCUGUGAUUGGCAGCUCCUGCAGGCCGUUGCUUUUCUCUUCAAGUUCUGGGGUUUUCACAUCUUUGCUUUUGCCCCAAACCACAGUGUAAAGGCCUGAGACUAUGAUAAUGGCUCCCAGUAUGCUGAAAUCAACCAAAUAAAAGAUAAAGAAGCAAAUGAGUAAUGGGAAACAAGGAAUACCAAUGCAGAAAUCCACUAAAUGAAUAAGACUUCUAAAUUGUUUAAUGGAUGGUUAAUAAAAGAAAAGAGAACUACUUGACAGUGCAUUUUGUCACUAUCUGCAAAAGUAAUAUUCUCUAAUAAAACUUUGAUAUAUUGUGCACCGUAAUAUUAUUUCAUGUGUCAGUGAAAUUUCUUAUCAUAACAUAUUUGUUAAAGAUCAAAGUGCAAGUUGUUGCGGGAACAUGUUAGAUUGCUGUUAAUUUCAUACCUUCCAAGGUGGACUUUUUCAUUUAACACAAAGGCCCCUAGCGCAGCAGUGAUGAUCAUGCAUAGAGGGCUAAAAGCUGUUACAAAGACCGGCCCUCGUGCCCGGCUCACGAUGCCUUGCACGUAAUAGGCUAUCCCGGAGCACACUAUUCCCUAAUCAAUCACAGAUUAUUUUGAAGUGUUAAGCAUUUGUGGUUACUGAUUAGUAAGACGUUUAGAGUGCAUCAUGGAUGGGGAAAAAUGGACUUACAGAGUAAGAUGCAGCAAGAAGCCUGGAGUCGAACCCAAUUUUCCAGGCGCUUAGAUCACGAACCAUGAUAAACGACAGCCCUGCAUCUUGCACCGUUCCCAUGAAACAUAUCCAAGCUGUAAGAGACAGCUCUGCUGGGUACUUCUUCAAUGUGAAGGACUGGACCAGAAACAAUAACCCAUUAACGUUAGCGCGUAAACAAUUAAAUAGUUUUAAUGAAUUAUAUUUGCUCAAUAAGAGACGUGAAUAUUUCAACUAACUUGCAAAAUAAAGAAGCUUGACCAGCCAACGAUACUUCCAAGAAGCGCUACAGUGCCAGAAACCCAGUGUUGACCAGCAGAUUCGGUGGUAGUGCCAUGGUGUGUGGCUCCACCUGACUUGACGAAGUCAAUAAUGGGGCCUUUGUACAAGGUCAUCACCAUUGCACCCCCCACUGUGAUUGCAGUUCCAACCAACUUUGCAACACUGUGUAUUUGCUUCAAAUUGAUUUUCUCCAACCUAUUUGACAUAAAUAAUUACCCAUUAAAAAAUGAUAAUUUCCUUCAAUCUUAUCGAUGAUAUGAAGAUCAUGAUGGAACCUUUUAAGUUAUCUGAUGUGGUGUGGUGUAGUGUGCAGUGGCAUAUGUUAAUGGAAGUGAUGGAUUUUACCUGAAAAUCAUGGCCAUUAUGAAAGUAACAGCAGGAAGCAUGUUGACGAAAGCAGAUGAAUAUGUUGCUGUUGUGAACUUCAUUCCCAGAUAGUAUAAGUUUUGGUCAAGCACUGGCCUGCGCAUAUAUAUUCCACUGUCAACUCUAUUUCUUCAUAAAUAUAUCAACAAACAAGAAAUUACAUGCAUUUAGUAAAUGCAUGAUAAAGAUGCGAUAAGUUUAGAGCAAUACUCCAGGAAGCCGAGAACAACAAUCCUGAGGAAGAUAGGCAGGGUCAUCUUUGGCCUAAUUUUCCUGCAUGUACAAACGAAUGGCAAAGGCAGCAAUGAGGCUGGGGAUUAUAUAUGCAUGUCUCUACAUGAAAGUGUGUAGUGAGAUUGGGGAGAAAAAUGAACCUUUCAAGGAAAAAGGCAAAGGGUGCAAUGACAAUGGUGGCGACAACAUGACGGUAGGUAGCAAGGAUGAAAUUACUCAUGCCAUGCUUCAUACAAAUGGUGGAGAGGAUGUACAUCCCUGCAUAUCCAAACUGCAGGGAGAUGAUAGCCAAGUAUGGCUUCGCUUUGUUCAACACAUUAGAGGAAGCUGCUGCACCUGAUGUUUGGUCCCCCAUUUUUCUCUCUUUUAUGAUCUCUCCACCACCGCUUGCACUGAGGCUUGGAACUUAUAAAUCAGAAUUGGCCUUCUUAUAGGGAGAAAAAUGCAAACACAAAAUAAUAAUAAUAAAUUAAUAUAAGCAAGUGUAGUGUUUCCCAUAAUGUAAAACUCACUUAUCCACUAAUAAUGAUUAAAAAAUUCCUCAUUAUCACAAAUCAUUUCGAAUACCAUCGCUUUGCUGAUGAAAAUCAAAAGAAUAAAACAAAAAAAGGCGGGUGUUUAUGUGGCUAUCUGUUCAUAUGAUUCUUUUGCCUUUUGUUUUCCUUUUACUUCUCGUUUGUUUAAUUUAAUUACACUAUUUAUCAUGGGUUUGGAUUCAUUGAACAACCAAAUUAUGUUUAGGUUAAGUGCGGAUGUUGCAUGCAGAAAGAAACUAUGUGGCUUUUGCGUGGCUACCAUUUCCAAAAUCAACUGCUUCCCUAAAACCAUUUACUCACGGAAUUCACCCUCAUUAUGGUCUCCUUGUUUUCACUUUCCAAUUCUUUUUUUUAUUGUCAGUUAAAAAAUUGAUUUGAUAGAACUCAUGGCAACUGAUUGGUAAAAAUAAAAGCGAACACAAGAGACAUAGGCGAGGGAUAAUUAACCCAAGUCAAUAGAUUUAUCCCAUACAUUUCAUUCGUGGUCCUUUAUUCUCAUGAUGCAUCAAAGAAUCAAAUCAAUAGUAAUCAAAGUAUUUAGUGGGGAGUAUAUUUCAUUUAGUGUGGUUUGCAUGUAGUAAGACUACUUUAUUAACAUCCCAACAAGUCCAUUGGAAGGACAACGAUCUAAAAUAUGAUCGUAACAUAAAACAAUCGUCAAGAAUCAUACCUAGUUCAAUGUCUAUGUUAUGAUGAGACGACAACACUUCAACUACCAAUAAACAAUCCAAUUCCACAAUAACUCGAUCCAACUGAAGAGGCUUUAAUUAAAAAAGUGAUUCUCUAAUACCAAUCACUUCAACUAGUUAAAGGUAAGUCAUCCCCUCUCCCCAACUAGUAUAACUUUAAACCCCGUUCACAAUCAUUAUUUACAUUUAAUAUUUUAAACUGAAAAUUAGAAAUCUAAUUGGUUGAAUCUCCGUACCCAUUUGUUAAUACGGUGUUAAUAGAGUUUUUACAGAGGGGUAAUAAAUUGUAAGCUUAGAAAUAUAGAAAUGGUAGCAUCUUUCAGAAAGGACAGAGAACAAAACUAAUGUAAUUAGUGCAAGUGACGUCGACAAAGAAUAAUAUAUUUAUGAUUAGACACACAUUAUAUUGCUUAGAGCAUCUUCCCAAACUGAAUAUUGCUCAAGUUCGGAUAUCUGGAAUUCUUCGUAAGAUUAGAAUAAUAAGAAUUUAAGAUGAUAAUUGGAUUUAAGUGGUUGCUGAUUAAUAAUCACUAAUUAGAUUAGGCAUCUCUCACUUUAUAGCUUCGAAUGUUUGCAUAAAAAUAACAUACAACUAUUCUUAUUCCUGCCCCUGCUUCUUGUCUCUUCAUUUCACUUCACUUUCAAUAAAUUGCUACCCUUUUUACGUAGCACAAAUUUGGAGCAACCACUUGUUUUGCAUCUUUCAGAAAAAAAAAAAACAUCCUUUUAUUAUGCCUUAUCUAUCUAUCAAGUUUUAUUUUAAAAUGUUCGUGUCCAUCAUGACGUAUAUUUAAAUAUGACAUAAUAAAAUUCAAAUACUUUUAAUCAAAAUAAAUGGUUCAAAGAUUAUUAAUACACAACCAAGUUACUUAUUUGAAUUCAUGGGAGAUAGAAUCCGCAUUUCACUAAAUAUCUGUUGGACCAAAAAUAUUGUUGAAAUAUGAGUGGGGGAUACAAUGAUGAGUAUUAAAAUACUGGGUUAAGGCAUGUAAUUGAUGUGUGGGGGAGGAAUCUUCUCUUUAAGAGUGAUUUUAGUUAAUAUGAUCUUCCAGGCCGUAUACAUAGUGUACACAGUACAAUUUCAUAGUAAAAAGAAUUUACCGUCAAAGCAAAACGAUAUUUUAGUUAAAGUUUCAAAAGGAAAUAUGGAGAAAGUUAUAGAGUAAGGUUUACUAAUAGAUAAUAUGGUAGUAAUUUGAAUAUAAGCCUAAAGAUAGCUGGUGAUAAUUAAAAGUACUGAAUAUUGUAGUUUUUUGCAUAAAUGGCAUCAUGCCUAUUGAUUUAUUUGCUUUGUUUAGUUGUGAAUUCUUAAGCUUGUAUAAGCACCACUAAUCUCGUGAAAGUUCAACAUUGUUUUCCCAAGUGUUGGUGAGAGUUUUUUUGCAUUCUCCUGCUAGUUUGGUAUUGCUUCACAACACCUUAAAACUAGGUCUCCAACUUAGAAUUGUCAAUUCUUGACUCCUCUAUUAUAGCCCCUACCAAUUUGUUGUGAUGAAAUAGCAUUAGAAGCUGCAACCCACUUGUCUAGUUUCUUUAUGCAUCAUGUGGAGUGUACGCAGAGGCUUGCGUUUCCAUUCUUUUAGUGAAGACUUGUCUGCCGGUAUGUUUGUGUGACAUUCCCAAGAACCAACAACCGCAAUUAAGGGAGAUAUAUAGCGGAGAAUAAGAAUCCAUAAAAUUAAAUUUAAGAAAAAAUGUUUUCAAGUGAAUCAGUUUCGUAAAAUGAAAAUAUUGCUAUUAAAAUAGGUUAAUCAUAAACAAAGUGAAAUGUUCCAUGUGAUUAAACAAUUAAAAACCAGCAACGGGGUUUAAGCAAGCAAUUGAGCGACUGGAAUGUAAUAAAUAAAAAAUGUUUUAGGGAAUGACUUCCAGUAAAAGAAAAUGUUGCUAUUAAAAUAGGUUUAUUAGGAAGAACGUGGGAAUGCAACCUUCUAAUGGAUUUAUAUUUAAUGCAUUGUUGGAUUAGAUUAUAUACCAUCAAUGUAUCAAACAUUAUCACGUUGGUAUGAUUAAAUAGUUAAAAACCAAUAAUGGGUUUAAGCUAUUUUCUUUUGGUUAAAUUCUACUAUUAGUCCUCACACUUUGUGGAAGUUGUGAAUUUAGCCCUUAUUCUUUAAUUUGAUCAAUUUCAAUCCUAUUUUUUUUUUAAUUGGUUAAUUUUAGUCCUUACUCAAAUAGUUGUAAUUAAUUUUUUUGUUAAAUCCAAUUACUAGUAUUGUACCACACGUAUAAUUGUAAAUUUAGUUUGUAUUCUUUAAUUAGAUCAUUCUAAGUCUCUUUACUUUUUGAAUUUUAAAAUUUCAGUCUUGACAUAAAUGACCGUCGUUAAUCCAUCAACUGAAUUUUUAGUGAGUAAUAUGUGGAAAUAACAAGUUGACAUGGUAUUACACACAUGAUAAUAUAUUUGGAGAUCAAAUUUUAGAAAUAGCAGAAGUUAAUGAAUUUAACAGUUAUUGUUUGAUUACGACUGAAAAUUUAAAUUUUGAAAAGUACAGGGACUAGAAAUAAUCAAAUUAAAGUACAUGGAUUAAACCCACAACUUUCUCAAAGUACAGGGACUAAUUGCAGAAUUUAACCUUUUCUUUUAGCUUUUAUAUCUUCACCUUGCGAAGUCAUAAACAAGAAGAGCAAAUAUAUAGCAAUGUAGCUAUCAGGAUGUGAAAAAGAAGCAAAAAAAGUUCCAUACGCUUGAACAAAUGAUGAACGUGGAAAGUUUGAGAUAGCAGUAAAAUUCAUGGAGCAAGUUAUUUUGACUUUUGCAGUAGAUCUUUUUGUUAUAGUAUCCGAUGAGCUUAAGCCAAAAAGAAAAAAAGAAGUACGGAAAUGGAAUAAUUGGGGGAAAGCAUAAGCAAACCGCGAUUGAUUCAUGGUUUUUACUCACCAAAUUAGCCUCAACAGUACAAUCAAAAGAUGAUUAUUAAAGGUAGAAAAUAGUUUGUGGGAGGGGUGGGUUACAUAGUAGUUUUUUAUCGCCUUGGGAAGAACAAACUCUGCUUGAAAUAUAUCAGCAUUUUGAAGGAAAUAUCUAUAUUGUUUUAUGUUCCUCGAGUGCUGUAGGUGUUCUUUGAAUCCGGAAUGUUAACAGCAUUCGCAGCUCCAUCAACAACAUUCAUUGAUCUACCAUUGUCUGUGAUUGGCAAUUCCUGCAGGCCGUUGCUUUUCUCUUCAAGUUCUGGGGUUUUCACAUCUUUGCUUUUGCCCCAAACCACAGUGUAAAGGCCUGAGACUAUGAUAAUGGCUCCCAGUAUGCUGAAAUCAACCAAUCAAAAGAUAAAGAAGAAACAAAUGAGCAAUGUGAAACAAGGAUUACCAAUGCAGAAAUCCACUAAAUGAAUAAGACUUCUAAAUUGUUUAAUGGAUGGUUAAUAAAAGCAAAGAAUUAGAACACUAAUUGUUUAAUGCAGGAAAUUUUAGAUUGCUGUUAAUAUCAUACAUACCUUCCAAGGUGGAUUUUUUCAGCUAAAAUAACGGUCCCUAGCGCAGCAGUGAUGAUCAUGCACAGGGGGCUGAAAGCUGUUACAAAAACCGGCCCUCUUUGCCGGAUCACGAUGCCUUGCACGUAAUAGGCUAUCCCGGAGCACACUAUUCCCUAAUCAAUCAUAGGUUAUAUUGAAGUGUUAAGCACUUGUGAUUCGUAACACUUUUCGAGAGCAUCAUGGCUGGUAAGAAAAGGGACUUACAGAGUAAGAUGCAGCAAGAAGCCUGGAGUCGAAGCCUAUUUUCCAGGCACUUAGGUCACGAACCAUGAUAAAUGACAGCCCUGCAUCUUGCACCGUUCCCAUGAAACAUAUCCAAGCUGUAAGAGACAGCUCUGCUGGGUACUUCUUCAAUGUGAAGGACUGAACCAGAAACAAUAACCGAUUAACGUUAGCUCGUAAACAGUAAAGUAGGUUAAUAAAUUUUGUUUAUUGAAAGAGACUUGACAUAUUUCAACUCACUUGCAAAAUAAAGAAGCUUGACCAGCCAGCGAUACUUCCAAGAAGCAUAAUGGUCCCAGAAACCCAGUGUUGAUCUGCAGAUUCAGUGUUAGUGCUAUGGUGUGUGGCUCCUCCUGACUUGACGAAGUCAAUAAUGGGGCCUUUAUACAAUGUCAUCACCAUUGCACCGCCCACUGUGAUUGCAGUUCCAACCACCUUUGCAAUACUGUGUAUUUUCUUCAAAUUGAUUUUCUCCAACCUAUUUGACAUAAAUAAUUCCUCGUAUUAAAAAAUGAUAGUUUCCUUCAAUCUUAUCGAUGGUAUGAACAUCACGAUGGAACUUUUUAAGUUAUCUGAUGUGGUGUGGUGUAGUGGGAGGUGGCAUAUGUUAAUGGAAGUGAUGGAUUUUACCUGAAAAUCAUGGCCAUUAUGAAAGUAACAGCAGGAAGCAUGUUGACGAAAGCAGAUGAAUAUGUUGCUGUUGUGAACUUCAUUCCCAGAUAGUAUAAGUUUUGGUCAAGCACUGGCCUGCGCAUAUAUAUUCCACUGUCAACUCUAUUUCUUCAUAAAUAUAUCAACAAACAAGAAAUUACAUGCAUUUAGUAAAUGCACAAUAAAGAUGCAAUAAGUUUAGAGCAAUACUCCAGGAAGCCAAGAACCACAAUCCUGAGGAAGAUAGGCAGGGUCAUCUUUGGCCUAAUUUUCCUGCAUAUACAAACGAAUGGCAAAGGCAGCAACGAGGCUGGGGAUUAUAUAUACAUGUCUAUACAUGAAAGUGUGUAGUGAGAUUGGGGAGAAAAAUGAACCUUUCAAGGACAAAGGCAAAGGGUGCAAUGACAAUGGUGGCGACAACAUGACGGUAGGUAGCGAGGAUGAAAUUACUCAUGCCAUGCUUCAUGCAAAUGGUGGAGAGGAUGUACAUCCCGGCAUAUCCAAACUGCAGAGAUAUGAUAGCCAAGUAUGGCUUCGCUUUGUUCAACACAUCAGACAAAGCUGAAGCACUUGAUGUUUGG
Molecule: long non-coding RNA, 26052 nt
Filed under: Gossypium barbadense (sea-island cotton)
Lineage: Eukaryota; Viridiplantae; Streptophyta; Magnoliopsida; Malvales; Malvaceae
Description: long non-coding RNA (GBAR_LNC023146)
Source: RNAcentral